This 73-nucleotide transfer RNA is filed under the name Omnitrophica WOR_2 bacterium RIFCSPHIGHO2_02_FULL_50_17. Its description in RNAcentral is "tRNA-Ala". It matches the Rfam family "tRNA". From Rfam's summary of the family: Transfer RNA (tRNA) molecules are approximately 80 nucleotides in length. Their secondary structure includes four short double-helical elements and three loops (D, anti-codon, and T loops). Further hydrogen bonds mediate the characteristic L-shaped molecular structure. tRNAs have two regions of fundamental functional importance: the anti-codon, which is responsible for specific mRNA codon recognition, and the 3' end, to which the tRNAs corresponding amino acid is attached (by aminoacyl-tRNA synthetases). tRNAs cope with the degeneracy of the genetic code in two manners: having more than one tRNA (with a specific anti-codon) for a particular amino acid; and 'wobble' base-pairing, i.e. permitting non-standard base-pairing at the 3rd anti-codon position. Lineage: Bacteria; Pseudomonadati; Candidatus Omnitrophota. The record is from RNAcentral. RNAcentral also lists the same sequence under 1 other name.
GGGUCGGUAGCUCAGUUGGGAGAGCGCUUGGUUCGCAAUCAAGAGGCCGGGGGUUCGACUCCCCUCCGAUCCA